Molecule: non-coding RNA, 597 nt
Organism: Maylandia zebra (zebra mbuna)
Lineage: Eukaryota; Metazoa; Chordata; Actinopteri; Cichliformes; Cichlidae
Source: RefSeq, a predicted model, not a curated record
CCCCCAAGCUGAGAGCAGUGGGACUGCGCCUCAUGACCGCUCUGUGGAAAAAACAGGACCGGGUCUACCCAGAGCUGCAGCGUCUAAUGAGCCAGCAGGACAGCAGGGUGGUGCUGGGGAGGGACGCCCAGUGGGAGCAGAUCCUGGCCAGGGCCGCCUGUGUCAGGGACAUCUGCAGAGAGAGGCCUUACCAGCAUGCAGGGGACAUGGUGGCUAAACCUCCUUAGGAAACUCAACUCCUUUGGAGUCAGCACACCCAUCAUGAUGACUUUUUACUACGCCUUCCUGGAAAGCAUCAUGACCUUCUCCAUCACCUGCUGGUCCCACUCCCUCAGCCUUCAUACAGGAACAGACUGCAGCAUCAGUGUGCUCUAAAAUCAUUGGCCUGCCUGUCAGAACUCUGGCAGGUUUUCAUCAACAGGCCCUUAGACAGGCAGCCAAAAUCAUCAACGACCCCUCUCACAUUCUUCACCCUGCAUUUCAAUGGCUCCCCUCUGGGCGACGCCUCCGCUGCAUUUCCUGCAGGACUGAGAGGAGGAGGAGCGCCACCUUUGUCCCCAAAGCAGCUCUGCUUUUUAACUCCAGCUGAUAAGAACA